AGAUCUGAAUUUAGGGAUUUCGACCAUGGAUUUUUAUUUCCCCUUUCCUCGUUGAAGAUGAACUGGAUCUAGGAUCAUUGCUUGGCUGAUAAAUUCCGGCGAGAUCUCUCACUGGAGAACACGAACUUUUUAAUUGAAAUUGAGGCUUCACGAUUUCUAUGAGAGAAUAAUUGAUCCGAAAUUGGGGAUCGAAAGAAAUAAGAGGAAUCUCCCCGGAAAGAGCUCAAAUCGAAGACUUCAUGGCCCCGAUUCCGAAAAUCGGAAAUCCC
This 269-nucleotide long non-coding RNA is filed under the name Salvia miltiorrhiza (redroot sage). RNAcentral's name for it is "long non-coding RNA (SMIL_LNC011445)". Lineage: Eukaryota; Viridiplantae; Streptophyta; Magnoliopsida; Lamiales; Lamiaceae. The record is from RNAcentral.